CCUACGGGAGGCAGCAGUGAGGAAUAUUGGUCAAUGGGCGCGAGCCUGAACCAGCCAAGUAGCGUGAAGGAUGACUGCCCUACGGGUUGUAAACUUCUUUUAUAAAGGAAUAAAGUGAGGCACGUGUGCCUUUUUGUAUGUACUUUAUGAAUAAGGAUCGGCUAACUCCGUGCCAGCAGCCGCGGUAAUACGGAGGAUCCGAGCGUUAUCCGGAUUUAUUGGGUUUAAAGGGAGCGUAGAUGGGUUGUUAAGUCAGCGGUGAAAGUUUGUGGCUCAACCAUAAAAUUGCCGUUGAAACUGGUUGUCUUGAGUAUAUUUGAGGUAGGCGGAAUGCGUGGUGUAGCGGUGAAAUGCAUAGAUAUCACGCAGAACUCCGAUUGCGAAGGCAGCUUACUAAACUAUAACUGACACUGAAGCACGAAAGCGUGGGGAUCAAACAGGAUUAGAUACCCUUGUAGUC
Molecule: ribosomal RNA, 460 nt
Filed under: uncultured bacterium
Lineage: Bacteria
Description: partial 16S ribosomal RNA
Rfam family: Bacterial small subunit ribosomal RNA
Source: RNAcentral